GGCAUGCGCAGCUACCAUGCAGUCGAGCGGUAAAGUUAGUUUGUUGCUCCUCUGAUGACCACCGGGGGGCGGGUGAGUAAUGCUUGGGAAUGUUCCUUAUGGUGGGGGACAACAGUUGGAAACGACUGCUAAUACCGCUUAAUGUCUUCCGACCAUUAACGGGGACCUUCUGGCCUCGCGCCAAUGGAUCUGCCCAAGUGGGAUUAGCUAGGAGGUGAGGUAAUGGCUCACCAAGGCGACGAUCCCUAGCUGGGUUAAGAAGAUGACCCGCCCCGCUGCGACUGAGACACCGCCACUACUCCUACAGGAGGCAGCGAGGAGGAAUGUUGCACGAAGGGCGCAAGCAUGAUGCCAUGCUGCCGGGUGUGUGAAGAACGCCUUCGGGUUGUACUGCUCUUUCACUAAAGAAGAAAGGUUGGAUGUUAAUAUGAUUAAGCUGUGACGUUACUUACCAAAGAAUCACCCCCUAACUCCGUGCGCGCAACCACGGAAGUACGGAGGGUGCGACCGAAUCUCUGAAUUACUGGGCGUAAAACGUACGCUAGCGGUUUGUUAAUCAAGAUGUGCAACUCCCCUGCUCAACCUGGGAACUGCAUUUCGAACUUGAAUUCUAAAGAGUGAUAUAGAAUGGUAGAAUUUCCGGUGAAAUGCAUAAAUAUUACUUAGAUCUACCGAUUGACCGAUGGCAUCACUACUACUCUGGGACGCUGAGGGACUCAUGUACGAGAACGUGGGGGAGAAACAGC
This 746-nucleotide ribosomal RNA is filed under the name Pseudoalteromonas sp. Its description in RNAcentral is "bacterial SSU rRNA". It matches the Rfam family "Bacterial small subunit ribosomal RNA", at positions 41 to 776 of the family's 1533-position model. Lineage: Bacteria; Pseudomonadati; Pseudomonadota; Gammaproteobacteria; Alteromonadales; Pseudoalteromonadaceae. The record is from RNAcentral.